CAGCCUCUGUGUGCAGCCUGGAAAUUCCAUCCAGGCAGUAAGGUGGAGUGCUCUUAGGGCCCAUCUCAUUUGUUUCCUUUCUUUCAGGGAUCAUUAUCAGCAAGGCUUGCUGUCCAACGUCUGAAAACCACUGUUUUAUAUAUUUUGUCUGCUUUUUUUGACAGGAGGGUAAAUCUAGUCCCUGUUACAGCUUUUUGGCUGGAGGCAGAAAUCUUGUUUGUGAUUUUUAAGAAUUACUCUCUUAAAUUUAAUUUUGUUUUAUAAUUAUGUAAAAUACAAAGCUCUGAAGUUAAAACAAGGUACAGUAAUAUUCUAUAUAACAUUUUGGUCAGUGAUGAACCACAUAUAUGACAGUGGUCCCAUAAAAUAAUACAUUUUAGUUGUACCUUUUCUGUGUUUAGUUAAACAAACACUAGGUGUUACAUUACAACUGCCUACAUUAUUCAGUACACAAUAUGCUGUACAGGUGUGCAGCCUAGGAGCAAUAGGCUAUACUAUAUAACUGCGAUGUUAGUAGGCUACACUAUCUAGGUUUGUGUAAGUGCACUCUGUGAUGUUUGCACAAUGAUGGUAUCACCUAAUGACGCAUUUCUCGGAAUGUAUCCCUAUCAUUAAGUGAUGCAUUCAGAAAAGUCUAGGGUCUAACCCUUUGCUUUUCCCUACACACUCACUGAGGUAAACAUUAAAAAAAAAAAUUUCCCCCUCCACCCCUUUUAAGUUUUUAUUAUUUCCAUACUAUUGUUUUUAUUAUUAACAUAAACAAGUAUAUACAUCCACUUACAUCUCUACUUUCUUCUUAGGUGAUUAGCAGCAUACUACAAAAUUCUCUCAAACUACUGUUUUACUUAGUAAUUUAUCCUGAAGAUCACUCCAUACAAGUAUAUAGAGAUAGUCUUCAUUGCCUAUCUUUUGAAUUUAUAACUUAAAAGAAGGAAUUAAAAAUGUAAAAACAUUAUCACUGAUAUUUUCAAGGUCUUUACUUACGCCAUGCUGAAAGAGGGUUUUGCAUCCUGGUCAGAUAAAGAAGCAAUGGUGUGCUGAGGAAAUCCUUCAUAGAAGAAAAUGUAUUACUUUCUUUUUCCAA
RNAcentral lists this long non-coding RNA (1084 nucleotides) under Homo sapiens (human). Its description in RNAcentral is "non-protein coding lnc-NAIP-3:1". Lineage: Eukaryota; Metazoa; Chordata; Mammalia; Primates; Hominidae. The record is from RNAcentral.